RNAcentral lists this ribosomal RNA (544 nucleotides) under Staphylococcus succinus. RNAcentral's name for it is "bacterial SSU rRNA". It matches the Rfam family "Bacterial small subunit ribosomal RNA", at positions 46 to 575 of the family's 1533-position model. Lineage: Bacteria; Bacillati; Bacillota; Bacilli; Caryophanales; Staphylococcaceae. The record is from RNAcentral.
GCUAAUACAUGCAGUCGAGCGGACAGAAGGGAGCUUGCUCCCGGAUGUUAGCGGCGGACGGGUGAGUAACACGUGGGUAACCUGCCUGUAAGACUGGGAUAACUCCGGGAAACCGGAGCUAAUACCGGAUAGUUCCUUGAACCGCAUGGUUCAAGGAUGAAAGACGGUUUCGGCUGUCACUUACAGAUGGACCCGCGGCGCAUUAGCUAGUUGGUGGGGUAAUGGCUCACCAAGGCGACGAUGCGUAGCCGACCUGAGAGGGUGAUCGGCCACACUGGGACUGAGACACGGCCCAGACUCCUACGGGAGGCAGCAGUAGGGAAUCUUCCGCAAUGGACGAAAGUCUGACGGAGCAACGCCGCGUGAGUGAUGAAGGUUUUCGGAUCGUAAAGCUCUGUUGUUAGGGAAGAACAAGUGCGAGAGUAACUGCUCGCACCUUGACGGUACCUAACCAGAAAGCCACGGCUAACUACGUGCCAGCAGCCGCGGUAAUACGUAGGUGGCAAGCGUUGUCCGGAAUUAUUGGGCGUAAAGGGCUCGCAGG